Molecule: ribosomal RNA, 554 nt
Filed under: uncultured bacterium
Lineage: Bacteria
Description: partial 16S ribosomal RNA
Rfam family: Bacterial small subunit ribosomal RNA
Source: RNAcentral
UGGGGAAUUUUGGACAAUGGGCGAAAGCCUGAUCCAGCAAUGCCGCGUGUGUGAAGAAGGCCUUCGGGUUGUAAAGCACUUUUGUCCGGAAGGAAAACGUCGUGGUUAAUACCCGUGGCGGCUGACGGUACCGGAAGAAUAAGCACCGGCUAACUACGUGCCAGCAGCCGCGGUAAUACGUAGGGUGCAAGCGUUAAUCGGAAUUACUGGGCGUAAAGCGUGCGCAGGCGGUCCGCUAAGACAGAUGUGAAAUCCCCGGGCUUAACCUGGGAACUGCAUUUGUGACUGGCGGGCUAGAGUAUGGCAGAGGGGGGUAGAAUUCCACGUGUAGCAGUGAAAUGCGUAGAGAUGUGGAGGAAUACCGAUGGCGAAGGCAGCCCCCUGGGCCAAUACUGACGCUCAUGCACGAAAGCGUGGGGGAGCAAACAGGAUUCAGAUACCCUGGUAGUCCACGCCCUAAACGAUGUCAACUAGUUGUCGGUCUUCAUUGACUUGGUAACGUAGCUAACGCGUGAAGUUGACCGCCUGGGGAGUACGGUCGCAAGAUUAAAACU